CCCAAUACACGAGAGGGGGACUAUAUAAGAAUCAAUGAAGCUGUCACUAUCACGAACUACCCCACGAUCUGGCAUAUUGGGUACAAUCGCAGAUAAAUACGGUAUAAGCACCACGCCUACACAAUAUCUAUCAUUUACCCAUGGAUCCGAUGGAUAAACGCUAUACGAUCCUAAGCAUCUAUAUAGAUCCAAUCUAACUAAGCCAAGUACAUAACUAUGAUAAACUAAGAACAAUAUAAUCUUGAAUAUAAGCAAGUAGAGCAAAGUCAUAAGCAAUAUAUUGAAGGAGAACAAAGUCAUAUUCAUAAUAUUGAAGAACAAAGAUAAUUAGAAAGCAAUU
This 340-nucleotide long non-coding RNA is filed under the name Sorghum bicolor (sorghum). RNAcentral's name for it is "long non-coding RNA (SBIC_LNC013037)". Lineage: Eukaryota; Viridiplantae; Streptophyta; Magnoliopsida; Poales; Poaceae. The record is from RNAcentral.